RNAcentral lists this long non-coding RNA (357 nucleotides) under Phoenix dactylifera (date palm). Its description in RNAcentral is "long non-coding RNA (PDAC_LNC009648)". Lineage: Eukaryota; Viridiplantae; Streptophyta; Magnoliopsida; Arecales; Arecaceae. The record is from RNAcentral.
AAAGAGUUUCUAAUGUUUCAUUGUUUGAAUUAUCAUAUAAAAAGAUUGAGAGAGACAUGAAUAAGUGAUUGAGUUUGAUAUUGAUCCAUACUCAUGCACUUAUUCAGGAUGUAGUAUGACUGAGGAAUUGAAUUGCAUGGUAACUUGCCACUAAAGGGUAUGUUUGGAUUUGUCCAAUACAUUCCUCAUCUUUUGGGUAGACAUGAUACAUUGCUAGACGUCAAUCUUGUCUUGUGGGUUGAUCAGAUCAAAAAGUUUGAUUAGAUCAAAGCAUCAGAAAGGUUCUGAUUGCUAAGUCAGGUUUAGCACUAAAUUGAACCUAAAUUAGAUUAGAGGUAUUCUAAUCAGGUUAGGUCA